RNAcentral lists this ribosomal RNA (499 nucleotides) under uncultured bacterium. Its description in RNAcentral is "partial 16S ribosomal RNA". It matches the Rfam family "Bacterial small subunit ribosomal RNA", at positions 28 to 507 of the family's 1533-position model. The record is from RNAcentral.
GACGAACGCUGGCGGCGUGCCUAAUACAUGCAAGUCGAGCGAAGUUUUUCUGGUGCUUGCUCUAGAAAAACUUAGCGGCGAACGGGUGAGUUACACGUAAAGAACCUGCCUCAUAGACUGGGACAACUAUUGGAAACGAUAGCUCAUACCGGAUAACAGUAUUUCUCGCAUGGGAGAUAUUUAAAAGUUGGUUGUGCUAACACUAUGAGAUGGCUUUGCGGUGCAUUAGCUAGUUGGUGGGGUAAAGGCCCACCAAGGCGACGAUGCAUAGCCGACCUGAGAGGGUGAUCAGCCACACUGGAACUGAGACACGGCCCAGACUCCUACGGGAGGCAGCAGUAGGGAAUCUUCCGCAAUGGGCGAAAGCCUGACGGAGCAACGCCGCGUGAGUGAAGAAGGAUUUCGGUUCGUAAAGCUCUGUUGUUAGGGAAGAAUGGAUGUGUAGUAACUAUACAUGUAAGAGACGGUACCUAACCAGAAAGCCACGGCUAACUACGUG